CACCGGCGGUCUCAGUUUCAGACUCAUAGUCUCCGCUUCCAACAUCAUCAUUAUCAUCAUCAUCAAAAUCAGAGAGUCCGCCACUGAGGCCUUUGAAGGCCUCUUCACUGAGAAUAGAAUUGGAAGUAGCAAUAGCAGAAGGAACAAAAGAAAGCCCAUGUUUAUGGUGGGCACUACUCUGAAGAACCAAAGGGGGUCUCCCUCCUCCACCUCCACCUCCGCCACUGGCCACCAAAGAACUGAAGUGAGACUUCUCACACGAGUGCAGGGAAAAAGAAGAAGAGGAUAAAGUGGGAUUUGCUGAGUGGAGCCUCCUAGAUGAAAGUUCUAUAGAAGGAGUAUGGAGGAUAGAGGAAACUCCAAUCACCGAAGAAGCCAUUAGUGUAGGUAAAGUGAGUUUGGGAAGGAAGAUGGGAGUGGGAAUGGAGAGGAAAUGAGAAAGAGAGACUUAAGAGAGGAUAAUGGCAGAGUGUGAGGGAAAAGUGCCGCCUUGAAAAUGUAAGACUCACACAGCUCCACCUCGGUUACUAUCCUGUUUCCC
RNAcentral lists this unclassified non-coding RNA (541 nucleotides) under Hevea brasiliensis (rubber tree). Lineage: Eukaryota; Viridiplantae; Streptophyta; Magnoliopsida; Malpighiales; Euphorbiaceae. The record is from RNAcentral.